Long non-coding RNA from Thunnus maccoyii (southern bluefin tuna), 1291 nucleotides. RefSeq lists it as uncharacterized. The record is from RefSeq and is a predicted model, not a curated record. NCBI's taxonomy places the organism in Eukaryota, Metazoa, Chordata, Actinopteri, Scombriformes, Scombridae. The transcript has 3 exons.
GGUUGCUGCCUGGGGGCCAAAGGUCACGUUGCCACUUAAUUAGCAAGAUGUUUGAAGAGGCUCCCGGCAACGUCGACACAAGACAACGACGACAAGAUCCCACACGACGUGUAGCCCCGAGGUUUCGAUGAUUCAUCCCCGCAGAGAGAUGUGAUGUCACUGCGUUCAUGGAAAUAAUGUCUGUGGACAGAAAAGAAGCUCUCAAUAUUGUUGCGGGUCUGUUUGCUUGGCAAAGACUCAUUAUUCUGGAUAUUACUGUGGCAGGAGCCCAGAGGGGGGGGGGGGGGACUGGACCUCUCUGAUGAAAAUAUUGAUGACCCCGAAGCCAAAAAUAUAUAAAGCCGAAAGUGAAGGUUUCAGAAGAGAGCAGUAUGUCAGCUUGGAGACUUCCAGAUGAACAUAUGUGCUGCUAGCUGCUGUCACUGGGACCGACAGACGCUGCACAUCCAAAGAAGAAUCAAGAUGAGGUCUGUGCACCAGUUUGCACCACUGAUGAUCCCCAAAAUAUCCCAGAGCAACCCUGCUGUGCUGCGUUCACAGACCGCCACACAGAAAACGAGAGCAGAGACGACUCCACGCUGUGAAAUCCACAUCUGAGAGAGAAAGUUGGUGCUGAGAAGAAAAAAACUUGAAUAAGUCACAACUCAGACCUGGAAGGACAUCAACAGCUUUGACACAAUCAAGCAUCUCAGAAAACCCAGACUGGACUAUUUUGAAAAUAGGCGUCAUCAUGACAGCUUGUCUGGAUGACUUGGUUAAAUAUGUCUAAAAUGAGAGCCGGGCCUCUCCAAUAUCUCCGUAUCCUCUUCAGACCGAGCAGCGUCGUCCUGUAUUUUUAUUCUCUUCUCAUGCAUCAGCUCUUCUUUCUUUCUUUUUUCUGCCUCACGUGUACCUUUUCAUUUUGUGCAGCGCUCAUUGAAUUCUUUUAAUUUCACGUCAGCAUCCUCACACACACACACACACACACACACACACUGAGAGAACAUGCCUGAUCAGCACUGCAACAGAGAGAAGCACUGAACUGAUAGGAAAGUAAGAAAGCUGAUACUUUAUCUGAACUGUUCAUGCAGCCGUAUGUGUAACAUCACAGAGUAACACUUCUGUAUCUCUGCAGCACUGUAGCAACAUGCGACUCUAUGAUCAUAUCAUGUCACAACAAAAAUACAAUUAACAUAUUUGUUGACUUCUACGGAGGCCCUAAAGGGGACACGGGCAAAACAAUACAGCAUAUAUACAGAUGGGUCAAGGGUCUUAGUAUUGAUUCUCCAGAACCAACCCAGUCACCAGAACA